This 230-nucleotide long non-coding RNA is filed under the name Elaeis guineensis (African oil palm). Its description in RNAcentral is "long non-coding RNA (EGUI_LNC082225)". Lineage: Eukaryota; Viridiplantae; Streptophyta; Magnoliopsida; Arecales; Arecaceae. The record is from RNAcentral.
GGAUCGUCCACACGAAGCUCCCGAUCUGAUCGGCUCCUCAUGAAUGCUAGUUCAUUGCAGAACCCUUUCGACGGCUGAUGCUGAUCGAACUCCUUCGAUCGGUGUCUGCCGACUCCUCAGAUACUCCAGAUCAUUAGUAAAGGUGCUUGAGAGGUUGAUGAAGCUCUUUCUGAAGUUUGGUGGGCUCACGACACUCGUAGCUCACCUUUUCACUUUUCGAACCCUAGGCA